AAGUACAUUUGAAAAAGGAGGUCAACAGUCCACAAGAAUUAAUUGCUUGACGCAACCGAGCAAGAUUAGAGAUUGUUAAAAGAAUGAAGGCGCAUUACUGACUUGUGAAGGAGUGGCAACAGCAGAGAAUCAGUGCACAAUCGUAACAGAUGUUAUCACAGAUGUGCUCACAUCUAAAUGUUUGACAGGAUGCCACACUGUGAGAGGUGACAUCUUCUGGAUGAUGUGUUAAACCAAGGUCCUGUCUGUCCUCUUUUGCAGAGGAAUGGGGGCCUUUCUCUGAUACCCAGUCAAUAUUUAUCCCUCAGUUAGUACAUCAAAUAUAUGAUCUGGUCAGUUACUUUCAUUAAUAGGCCAGAAUUAGUCUCCUCUCUGAACUAAACAUCCUCAAUCACUCAGCUCUGUAGAAUUGACUGGAUUUUGGAAGGUUAAUGAUGACCAGAGAUGGAUUAAAUUUUCAAUUGAAAAGCCAUACAGAUGGUCAUUGCCCAUUGCAGGACUGGCAAAAAGGAGAGUGCUGCAUGUUUGGAACCAAAAGAGAACUAACAACAGUGGUCUUAAAUGGUGUUUAGAGAAAGCAUCAUUAGCAUUUGAAACUAGCUACAGGGACACAGAUUUUCUUCUCUGUGUCUGAUUUCGAUUAGAGCCCUGGCUGUUUGAGUGAAAGUUUUCUCUCUCUAUUGACUAUGGGCAUGGGCAACACCCAGAUCCUGUAGUUAUGUGUCAACCAACCUACCUUGUAAUCAGGAAGCAAUUACCUCAAGCUGUAGCAGUGCUUAGGGGGAGGUUCAGAACAUUACCUGCUGUAGGAAAAGGCAAAAUUGGUGUGAGACAGAAGGCGCAUCAUUCCGAGGUUAGGUUUAAAAGCCACACUUCAAUUUUUAUACCUGCUCCAGGAGUGUUUAAU
Long non-coding RNA from Stegostoma tigrinum, 907 nucleotides. RefSeq lists it as uncharacterized. Lineage: Eukaryota; Metazoa; Chordata; Chondrichthyes; Orectolobiformes; Stegostomatidae. The transcript has 3 exons. The record is from RefSeq and is a predicted model, not a curated record.